Molecule: non-coding RNA, 351 nt
Organism: Pelobates cultripes (western spadefoot toad)
Lineage: Eukaryota; Metazoa; Chordata; Amphibia; Anura; Pelobatidae
Source: the annotation of a GenBank genome assembly
CGAGUGAGGGAGGGGGUGACUAGUGACAGAGUAAGAGAUGGAGGUGGUGACUAGUGACAGAGUGAGGGAGGGAGUGACUAGUGACAGAGGGAGGGAGGGAGUGACUAGUGACAGAGGGAGGGAUGGGGUGACUAGUGACAGUCACCACCUCCUUCACUCUGUCACUGUGUCACCCCCUUCCUCACUCUGUCACUGUGUCACCUCUUCCUCACUCUGUCACUAGUCACCCACUCCCUCCCUCACUCUGUCACUAGUCACCCCCUCUCACUCUUUCACUAGUCACCCCCUCUCUCACUCUGUCACCAGUCAUUCCUUCACUCUGUCACCAGUCAUCCCUUCCUUCCCUCACUC